UGAUGAAAGACGUGGCAAGCUGCGAUAAGCUUGGGGGAGCUGCAUGCAAGCUUUGAUCCCAAGAUUUCUGAAUUAUCCUGAGAAGGAAGAGCACGCCGGGAAUUGAAACAUCUUAGUACCGGCAGGAAAAGAAAAUAAAAAUGAUGCCCUUAUUAGCAGCGAGCGAAAAGGGCACA
Molecule: ribosomal RNA, 176 nt
Filed under: Candidatus Dadabacteria bacterium
Lineage: Bacteria; Pseudomonadati; Thermodesulfobacteriota; Candidatus Dadabacteria
Description: partial 23S ribosomal RNA
Rfam family: Archaeal large subunit ribosomal RNA
Source: RNAcentral